CGUGUACUAGCUGUUAGGGCUGAGAGCUGGGACCUAGAGAGAAAUUCAGUCAUGUUUGUCCUGGGUUCCAUCGAGAUAGGUGUGGGGAUAGGCUUGAUUUCUAUUACAAAUAAUGUAACAUUACAUAUGUUAGUACUCCUAACACUUCUUGGGACUGUGCCUCAGGGAUCACAACCUAUAUAAGUUUAGAAGUUCUGAAAGACAGUCAUGACCUUGGUGUAUAGGUUCAGAUAGUGUCCAGAUUGGAAUCCUGAUGCUAAAGACUUAGUAAGAGACAAAAAAAAGGAGUUGAGAAUUACUUAGGGCUAGGGCUAUCUAGGUGCUACAAGGGCAGCACAAGGACAUCUGCUGUUGCCCUACAAUACAAGGCUUAUAGAGAAUUCAGAACUGCCAUUGACUCAGAUAUAAAAAGAGUAAAAGACUUUUUAGCUGACCUCCAAGAAUACCUAACUUCCCUCUCAGAGGUAGUCCUUCAAAAUAAGAAAAGAUCAGACCUGAUAUUCCUUAAAGAAGGAAUCUGUGUGCUACACUGAAAGAAAAAUGUUGCUUCUAUACAGACCAUUCAGGAGUAAUUAAAGACUCCAUAAAUAAACUUAAAAAAAGGUUAGACAAAAGACAGACAGACAGAAAAACACAUCAGAGAUAGUUCGAGAGCUAGUUUAGUAGAUCUCCCUGGAUGACUACCCUACUCUCUGCUACAGCUGGGCCAUUAUUAAUAAUUUUCUUGGUUUUAGUUUUUGGCUCCUGCGUGACAAACAGGUUAAUUGCUUUUGUUAAAAAUUGAGUGGGUGCUGUGCGGUUGAUGGUCCUGAGACAACAGUACCAGUCAGUUAGGACAACUGGUGAGACCAAAUAAGACUUGAUAUCAAAAUUCUAAGAUUAGAAUUAUUUAGUAGGAGAAGACGGGAAUGAAAAGAAAAUUAUACAAAUUCUAGGUUUAGAAAUAUAAAAUUAAAAGAGUUAGCCCCAAAAGCCACAAACUCAGGGCUAAGCCCUGCCGCCAGGAAUAACAGGCCAUAAAGAUAAAGAAAAGGA
This 1035-nucleotide long non-coding RNA is filed under the name Rattus norvegicus (Norway rat). RNAcentral's name for it is "long non-coding RNA NONRATT008142". The record is from RNAcentral. Lineage: Eukaryota; Metazoa; Chordata; Mammalia; Rodentia; Muridae.